Molecule: ribosomal RNA, 500 nt
Filed under: uncultured Glomeromycotina
Lineage: Eukaryota; Fungi; Glomeromycota
Description: partial small subunit ribosomal RNA
Rfam family: Eukaryotic small subunit ribosomal RNA
Source: RNAcentral
CCAAUAGCGUAUAUUAAAGUUGUUGCAGUUAAAAAGCUCGUAGUUGAAUUUCGGGAUCAGUACGCUGGUCAUGCCUUUGGUAUGCACUGGUGUCACUGGUUUCUCCCUUCUGAAGAACCGUGAUGUCAUUAAUUUGGUGUCGCGGGGAAUCAGGACUGUUACUUUGAGAAAAUUAGAGUGUUUAAAGCAGGCUCACGCUUGAAUACAUUAGCAUGGAAUAAUGAAAUAGGACGUUUGACCCUAUUUUGUUGGUUUCUAGGAUCGACGUAAUGAUUAGUAGGGAUAGUUGGGGGCAUUAGUAUUCAAUUGUCAGAGGUGAAAUUCUUGGAUUUAUUGAAGACUAACUACUGCGAAAGCAUUUGCCAAGGAUGUUUUCAUUAAUCAAGAACGAAAGUUAGGGGAUCGAAGACGAUCAGAUACCGUCGUAGUCUUAACCAUAAACUAUGCCGACUAGGGAUCGGAUGAUGUUAAUUUUAUAAUGACUCAUUCGGCGCCUUACG